Molecule: ribosomal RNA, 300 nt
Filed under: uncultured Alcanivoracaceae bacterium
Lineage: Bacteria; Pseudomonadati; Pseudomonadota; Gammaproteobacteria; Oceanospirillales; Alcanivoracaceae
Description: bacterial SSU rRNA
Rfam family: Bacterial small subunit ribosomal RNA
Source: RNAcentral
UACAUAGGAAUCUACCCAGUAGUGGGGAGUAACUUGGAGAAAUACCAUGCUAAUACCGCAUAUGCCCUACGGGCGAAAGCAGGGGACCCGUCGGGCCGUUGCGCUAUUGGAUGAGCCUAUGUCGGAUUAGCUAGUUGGUGGGGUAACGGCCUACCAAGGCAACGAUCCGUAGCUGGUCUGAGAGGAUGAUCAGCCACACUGGGACUGAGACACGGCCCAGACUCCUACGGGAGGCAGCAGUGGGGAAUAUUGCACAAUGGGCGCAAGCCUGAUGCAGCAAUGCCGCGUGUGUGAAGAAGG